Molecule: ribosomal RNA, 484 nt
Filed under: uncultured bacterium
Lineage: Bacteria
Description: partial 16S ribosomal RNA
Rfam family: Bacterial small subunit ribosomal RNA
Source: RNAcentral
AUUGAACGCUGGCGGCAUGCUUUACACAUGCAAGUCGAACGGCAGCGCGGGCUUCGGCCUGGCGGCGAGUGGCGAACGGGUGAGUAAUGCAUCGGAACGUGCCCAGUAGUGGGGGAUAGCCCGGCGAAAGCCGGAUUAAUACCGCAUACGACCUGAGGGUGAAAGCGGGGGACCGAAAGGCCUCGCGCUAUUGGAGCGGCCGAUGUCGGAUUAGCUAGUUGGUGGGGUAAAGGCUUACCAAGGCGACGAUCCGUAGCUGGUCUGAGAGGACGACCAGCCACACUGGGACUGAGACACGGCCCAGACUCCUACGGGAGGCAGCAGUGGGGAAUUUUGGACAAUGGGAGCAACCCUGAUCCAGCCAUGCCGCGUGCGGGAAGAAGGCCUUCGGGUUGUAAACCGCUUUUGUUCGGGAAGAAAUCCUCUGGGCUAAUACCCCGGGGGGAUGACGGUACCGGAAGAAUAAGCACCGGCUAACUACGUG